This 278-nucleotide ribosomal RNA is filed under the name uncultured prokaryote. RNAcentral describes it as "partial 16S ribosomal RNA". It matches the Rfam family "Bacterial small subunit ribosomal RNA", at positions 524 to 801 of the family's 1533-position model. The record is from RNAcentral.
UACGGAGGAUCCGAGCGUUAUCCGGAUUUAUUGGGUUUAAAGGGUGCGCAGGCGGGGGAUUAAGUCGGCGGUGAAAUUUUGCAGCUCAACUGUAAAAGUUCCUUCGAAACUGGUUUCCUUGAGUGUAGAUGAAGUAGGCGGAAUUUGUGGUGUAGCGGUGAAAUGCAUAGAUAUCACGAGGAACUCCGAUUGCGCAGGCAGCUUACUAAACUACUACUGACGCUCAGGCACGAAGGCGUGGGGAUCAAACAGGAUUAGAUACCCCCGUAGUCCCUGAG